CCUUUAUAAGCUUAAGGCACAUAAACAAACCAAGACCAAUAUUAUUAAAAAGAUAAAAUGAAGGACCAAAAGUGGAUAAGGGACAAAAGAAGAAGAAAAGAAAGAUCAAGAAAGAAAGGGAUGAAGAAGAAGAAAGGGGAGGGGAGCUUGGAGCUUGGAGCUGCCUUUAAUGGCAGGUAGAGGAGGAAGGCUUCUGAGGUGCAGUGGAGUUGGUCAGAGACGAAGGAGGCGUCGACGAGUGCAGCAACAACGACGGCAUCAGCUCUAAUGGAGGUGGGCGGCAGGGAAAACCUGCAAGGAAAGAAGCAACUUCUUCGACGCCGUUGAAAGCACUUUUGGCAACGACAACGGCUGUUUCUGGUGGAAAACAACUUCUCUUAUCGUGAGCUUCAAAUCUGCAGUGGUAAUGUUAACAAUGGUGACCAAAAAUGGCGUUUUCCGGUGGAGAGAGAAAAUAGGCACCAGUUCAGAUUUUUGAACUUUUCGGCCAGUGUUGUUGAGCUUCGGAUGAUCAGAAAACAUAUUCGGGACCUACGCAUCAUAAGCUUUCCGAUGACAUCGAUUUUACUUUGAUCAGACUCCGUUGAAAAUCAAUGGUUGGGAACUGUCCUGGAUGUUUCCGGAUGAUCAGGGGCUAAAUUGGAAAAUCAGAAGCCAAAUUCAUUCUUUACACAUUAUUUCGAGCCUGUAGGCACGCUCAGAUUUUCGAUUGGACUUUGAGGACCGGAGGCGAGUCGACUGAUUUACUUUUAGCUUAUGCCCCCAUAUGCUAGUUUAAAGGGCGUCUCGCCAUUUGCCAUGCUAGGUGCGGUCCUGUAUAACUAGAGAACACUAUGAACUCAUCAACUCAUCUACCUUUCCUUUCAUCCAGUCUUCUUUUCAGUCCUUGAAGGAUUGUUCAGUUUGUAACCUCCAUUAGCCCAUCGGACUGUUUAAUGAGCAACAAAGUCAGGAAAGGCCCGAGGAUAUAUAUGCUCCAAGCUGUAAGCCGCCAAGGACUAGUGAUCGGGCAUUACAGUGAUGCAGGUAGUGAGAUGCAUUCUGAUGCUUUUGACAUUUAGCGCAAGUCUGUACGAGCUUAUUUGCAUCCUCGUGUAUGGUUGGCCAAAAAUAACCUUGGAGAAUGGCUUUUUUGGCUAUGGUGCUAGCUGCUUCGUGAGCCCUACAGAUCCCUUCAUGGAUUUCUCUAAAGACGUAGUCCACUCCUUUCAAAAUACAUCUAGAGCAAGGAUGAGAUGUUAGUUUUCUAUACAAGGUACCAUCUUGGAAAGAAUAUAUGGUUGAGGUCUUUACUAUUUUAGUUGCAUCAUUCUCAUCUUCAGGCUCCUCCAGUAUGUAGAACAUGACAUCAUUGCUCAGUUCUUAUUGUGAGGCGAGUUUGGUUAAGAAAGCUGCCUCUUUGUUCUCAUCUCAUGGGACCUGGAUUAUGCUUCAUUAGCCCUCUCCUUUUUCAAUUCUUUGCAACAUCGCUUUUACUCAACUUACAUAUUUGACUAGAUCAGGGUCUUUGACUUUGAAGAUCCCCAUUAUCUGAUUAACUACUAGCUAUGAAUCGCUGAUUAUACUUAGAUGCUUAGCUCGUACUGUUAGUACCAUCUUUAAACUCGCAAGUAAUGCUUUACACUCGACAACAGUAUUAGAGGCUUUAAAAUUAAUUUUUACCGAGCUUUUUAGUUGAACAUUAUUUGGUCCCUCUAGUAGUAUGCCUACUUUUGCCCUAUUAAUAUUAGAUGCUCCGUCGACAUGCAAUGUCCAUUUGAAAAUAGCUUCAUCAAGUUUCUCUGCACUCUAGGGCAAGAGGGGGGGUGGGGUGGGGG
Ricinus communis (castor bean) is the source of this 1817-nucleotide long non-coding RNA. RefSeq lists it as uncharacterized. The transcript is spliced from 4 exons. The record is from RefSeq and is a predicted model, not a curated record. Lineage: Eukaryota; Viridiplantae; Streptophyta; Magnoliopsida; Malpighiales; Euphorbiaceae.